This 506-nucleotide ribosomal RNA is filed under the name uncultured bacterium. Its description in RNAcentral is "partial 16S ribosomal RNA". It matches the Rfam family "Bacterial small subunit ribosomal RNA", at positions 29 to 523 of the family's 1533-position model. The record is from RNAcentral.
AGUGAACGCUGGCGGUAGGCCUAACACAUGCAAGUCGAACGGCAGCACAGGAGAGCUUGCUCUCUGGGUGGCGAGUGGCGGACGGGUGAGGAAUACAUCGGAAUCUACUUUUUCGUGGGGGAUAACGCAGGGAAACUUACGCUAAUACCGCAUACGACCUACGGGUGAAAGCAGGGGAUCUUCGGACCUUGCGCGAUUGAAUGAGCCGAUGUCGGAUUAGCUAGUUGGCGGGGUAAAGGCCCACCAAGGCGACGAUCCGUAGCUGGUCUGAGAGGAUGAUCAGCCACACUGGAACUGAGACACGGUCCAGACUCCUACGGGAGGCAGCAGUGGGGAAUAUUGGACAAUGGGCGUAAGCCUGAUCCAGCCAUACCGCGUGGGUGAAGAAGGCCUUCGGGUUGUAAAGCCCUUUUGUUGGGAAAGAAAUCCAGCUGGUUAAUACCCGGUUGGGAUGACGGUACCCAAAGAAUAAGCACCGGCUAACUUCGUGCCAGCCGCCGCGGUAA